CUGGCCUGGCUUGGCUUGGCCUGGACGGGGCCGGGCGCGCAGCCUCCUCGCUCCGGCCCGCGCUCUCCAGCCGCCCGGCGAGGGCGCGCGUUGGCCGCCCAGGACCCGCCCUGCCGUGCCCCCUCGGGCCGGCCGUGUGAGCGUCGCGGGCGGGCGGGCCGGCGUUCCCGUGUGUGUCGAGACGGGGGCCCGUUCUCACGGGAGGCCCCGCUCCGUGCCCAGCCGCGGCUGGCUUUGCGCUCCGAGGCGGGACCGGGACGGGGACGGGAGCGCGCUGCCAGGCAGUGCCCCGAGUGAGGGCCCAGCGGCGACGAGCGGCUGCCCCCGGGGCGGGAAGGGGAGUCUCCCGAAGCCGCCUCAGCAGUGCACCGCCGACGCCACGAUGCUACACCCUGAAACCUGCGGCCUGGCCCACAGGCAUCUCUUGUGCCAGUCUACGGCCCUUGGCGAAGCAUCUCUGGAGACCCGCUGCCUACAAUACAGCCCUCCUGGCUGAGUCAAAACAAAACAAAACCCUUUUGAAUAAUUCAAUGUUGCGUUGUUUGUGGAAAGCCAGGAGACUCGGGCCAGCCAUUCUACUGGGCAGAGGCCACCACGGAGAACGUAUUUCUUGACGUUCUUCAAGAGAGGAAGGGGCAGUUGUCUGAGAACACUGACAAGGCUCAGGGUCUGGUUUUCAGUUAAUUCCAUGUGGAGUCUCCAUCUGACCCAGGCACUGGAAGAGGGAGGGUCAUUCUGCCUACAGAUUAACAAUUGUCUUAAAGACAGGCCACAGUCCAACAGGGUGUCCAUUCUAGCCAGUCACACAGCUGAGGGUAACCCAAUGGCUGCUGUUCCCAAAUGUCACAGAUGAAGCUAGAAAUAUAGGGGAACUAUUGCUGGAUUUGACCAGGAAGAUCAUAGAAGAUGUCUUUGCACACAAACAAGGCUAUCUUGGCCCCACAGCUAGACAUGCCACAAAGGGAAUCUAGAGACUUAAAACAGAACAGCCUUGGAGAGGGGCCUGAAACAGAGGAGUAAGACCGUAGCACGGCCUUGUGCAGAGUAGAAGAGCCAUCAGACCCGUGUCAACAGACGGAGAGACCAUCUGAGAAUGACAGGAAUGUCCAGUUUCACAGAAGUUGAAGAUUCAAGAACGGGUGUCCUGGUAGAGGGCCAAAAGAUAUUCACGUACAUGAGAAACACGUAAUGGUUAAUUUUACAUAGACUUUAUUAAGGUAAUGUAGGAAAAACGAACUAAUAUUUAUAUAUACUUUAAGAAGAUGUUUCAAAUAUAACCUUGUCUGGUGUUUGAAGCAAGAAUUAGUUAGCCAAGAAUAUGAGCCCUUUCAAAGCAGGACAGUUAGUUAUUGCUAGGAGAUUAAUUUGAAACCCUUUAAAUAUGAGAAGCUGAACUUAUCAGGAGCUUCUUUCUAGAAGAGCUCCUUGCUUGCAACCUGCGUAUCUUUGGGUAACACACUUCCUUGAAUGCAUGUAAUUGCUCCUUGGAUGAUCAAAAUAGUUAUAAGGGAUGGUAUGAUUUUAUCUUGAUUAUGGAGAAUACAGAAUGUUUU
This is a long non-coding RNA of Eublepharis macularius, 1553 nucleotides long. RefSeq lists it as uncharacterized. The transcript is spliced from 3 exons. Lineage: Eukaryota; Metazoa; Chordata; Lepidosauria; Squamata; Eublepharidae. The record is from RefSeq and is a predicted model, not a curated record.